Non-coding RNA from Arachis ipaensis, 3118 nucleotides. NCBI's taxonomy places the organism in Eukaryota, Viridiplantae, Streptophyta, Magnoliopsida, Fabales, Fabaceae. The record is from RefSeq and is a predicted model, not a curated record.
UAACUUUUUCCCGGUGUAAAGAACACAUACUCUGUAAGCUCACAUUUAGUGAAAAUUUUCAUUCCCUCCAAAGCUCAGAAGUCACCCUUUCAGUAGAGAAGAAAACCCUCCAAGUCCAAAACAUGAAGAAAACCCUUUCAGGAAACCCUGCCUCCUGCACUGCGCGAAGAUCGUAAAGCCUCACCGUCGCGAAGAUCAUCACACCCCAGUCCCCACUCACCACUCAGCGCCACACCGUCGUGAAGAUCGUGAAGCUUACACCGUCGUGAACCCUCCUGCACUGAUCGUCGCGCGCCCAUACCAUUGUCAAUCUCUGCGCUUCUCGUCGUCCUCUCUGUGCUUACGUCAUCGAUUAGAUAAGUAUUAAUUUCCAUUUGAUUCUAAAAUUUGAGGGGUUUAGGGUCCGAUUUUAGAAAACUAUUGAGAUCGAUGUACCGAGUUAUAAAUUCCUCUUCUUUCUUAGAAGACUGUACGAAGUUGAUAUGAAGCCCUAGCUUGGCAAGUCUAUCUACGCAGAAAUUUUCCUCUCUCCCAGUCUCUAGCUAAGAGGUCGUGAGACUCAUCAAUAAGAAGUCCAUUGGGCUAAAGCUCUCUAUCCGCCGAGUUGCUGAUGCCCGAGGGGCUACUACGCUCACCGCGCACUUGCAUCACCACCUGAGCUUCGCUACCACUUCGGCUCUACGACCUUGCAAGGUGCUACUGUAGUGCUCUUUUGGCCUGUCGCUUUCUCAAUCGCUUGUCAUUUGAUUAUAGAAACAUCACAAGAAGUAGUGCUCACAGCCACCAACCCAGCCUCUACCAUCAUCUUCUAUCCGGUUGGGGCAAUUAGAGCAGAGGCUGUUGUGCCAACACAGGAAGGGACUUGUCUAAGAUAUCUUUUAUGAGUUGGUGUAAUGCACAAGGGACUUGUCUGAGAUAUAUUAUACCCAGUGUUUGGCUAUUUCGUUAUUCGUGGUUAAGAUUGAAGGCAAAAGUUUUUGGUUAAGGUCUUCCAAGCAGAUUUUGUCAAAACGUUGAUCAUGUCAUGGCAAGGAAUAAGGAAUUUAUUGAUCUUAAAGCUACAUCAAGUAAGAAUUUGCUUGGACAAUUUGAGGCUAAGAGACAAAGGAUUGUAACUGAACGCAAAAAAUAUGAAAUGGAAGCUGCAGCUGCUAAUGACAAGGAGAAAUCUGAGCGAAGGGUGGAUGAACCAGAAAGUCAAUUGGAGAUGUGUGGAACCAAAGGGCAGAAGAAAUCCACGUUAAAGAAGCUGGAUUUUAGUCAUCUGCAAAGCACAUUCGAUUCUAUUAGCAAAAGGACUAAUUCUACGUCUACCACCUUGGAAGUACAGCCAAACAUUCCUUUGCAACAGCUAGAAAAUAAAAAGAGAAAGGAGCUAUUGACUAUGCCUACUGCUGAGAAAGUCAAGAAUGGAGUGUAGGGUGGAAAAUCAACACAAGGCUUGAAGAAGUCUAAGCCUACAAACAUGGAGGCAGAUGAACUUACAAGGAAGCUCGAAGCAAUUCGUAAAAGGAACAGCAACGUGUCGACAAGUCUAUGCCAAGAGCGGAGUUGUCCAAGUUCUACUCAACUCAAAAUCAACCAAGGGCAGUAGCAGAAUAUUCAACUCACAGAUGAAGAGACUCAAACAGGGCAAGAUGAUACAACUUUGCCUUCUCCUGAAACUACCCCACAAAAUGAAAGUGCAAUGUUGGAGCAAGGAAUAUCAACAAAGGGUAAGAGGAUGCCAGGAGUAAAGGCUACAACAAUUGACGAAUUCUUAAAGGAAAAUUGGAUAGAUGUGGAAAUUGAAGGACCAAGCACUGCACUAAGUGAGGACGGGGAAGAAAGCAUGGCACUUGAUAAAGACUAUUAUCAACAUGUGAUGGAGGACAUUGAUGAUGAAGAAGGAGAGCCAAAGGACUAUGAAACAGCGGAAAGAAGUCACUUUUGAUAUUGGACAGCCCGUAGGACCAACCGACCAAAGUGUUUCUAAUUUAACUAGUUUUGUUGGCACUAUUUGUAGAAAUAAAAGAUUCGUUAGUCUUUUGUACACUAGUUGGCAUGUUGUUCCUUCUAAAGCUAAGAAGUUCAUGUGGGACUAUGUUAACACCAAGUUUAUCCUCCCAGACAAUGGAGAAAAGUGGGUAAUGCAAGCAAUUCGAGAUGCUUGGAAGCGGUUUAAAGGAAAGAUUAAGCAAAAGCACUUCGUUCCCUAUGAUACUAUUGAAGAUAUGGUGAAGAAUCGACCCCCACAAGUACCAGAAAGUGGUUUCAUAAAAUUGAUCUAUUAUUGGAGUCAUCCUCUAAUCCAGUAACUAUAGGCUAACUUUUCAUUCACUUCCAAUCAAUAAGUCAAAGAAACAAGCAACACAAGAAAAAACAGAAGUUUCCACAUCGCAUGGGGCCAAUUAAUUUCGGAAGAGUACGAGUGGCUAUGUGAGCAACAAAGGAAACAAACAAGGAACCAAAAAAGUUUGAGAUGUUCAUUGCUACCCGAACAAGUCGGAAGAGGAAAGAAGUGGAUGAGGAAACACAGACUGCUGUUGAAGACUUCCAACACUGCCAAGCUGCUGGUGAAACAGAAGAGGAAGUAUUUGAGGCCUUAUUCGGGAAAGAACAACCAGGUCGGGUAAGGUUGUAUGGAAGAUCUAUGACAAAAACUGAUUUAAAAAAUCAUGCUGAAAUUAAUGAAAUAAAAAAUCAGCACAAAGAGGAAAUGUCCAGUCUGAAGGAUGAACUUGGACACAUGGAGGCCCAACAGCAAAAAAAAAGAGGCCAAACAGCAAAAAUAAGAGGAAGAGAUUCAUGGGUUGUGAAAUAUGAUCAAGUUAAUACUGCAGCGAUCGGAACCUGGAAUGAGGCCAGAAGAACUAGAAGCUUUAUUACAAGAUGCCUAACAGUCUCCGAUUGAUGCGAAUAGCGGCCAUGGAUCAACUGAUUUUCCGAACUUAGAUGUGGGUAACAAUGAAGAUUAAGCAAUGAAGAUUAAGCUGAUUAUUAUUGUGGUUUAUUGGCUAAGAUAGAGUGCUAUUUAGAAUCUUUACAUGUAUGGUUGACUAAUGACUUUUAUUAGAAGAUACUUUUAUUGGCUAAGUGAUAUUAUGGUUUUGAUAUGGCUAUGCUUACUUUAGUGUGA